Molecule: non-coding RNA, 1286 nt
Organism: Mus caroli (Ryukyu mouse)
Lineage: Eukaryota; Metazoa; Chordata; Mammalia; Rodentia; Muridae
Source: RefSeq, a predicted model, not a curated record
AUGGCUGAGUGAGACACUUCUCUAUGUUGCCACUUGGAAUCUGUAUUAGGAAGUGUUUCUGGAUUUGGGCUACAGAAGGAAUGGAGAUGGGCUAGGAAGGAUGAUGAGAGUCGGUGAGAAUGAGCUAAGAUCUGUCAUGCAUACUUGCUGUCCAAGGAGACCAGAAAAGGGCAUUGAAUCCCCUGAGACUGCAGUGCUUGUGAGCCACUAUGCAGGGACACUCAGCAGCCACACCCAUAUGUAGUAGCCCUUUACCUCUAGGACUUCUCUUCAGGAAAAGGAUCAGGGAUCCUUGGACAAAUGGCUGAUUCUAGGACUGGGGCAGCUAACAAACAAGAAGGGGCUGGAAGGAGCAUCUUGUCGCAGAGGAGACUCAGGAAGUGCUCUAUCUCCUUCCAACUCUCUGAACACAAGGACAUUUGCCAGAAGGACAACACAGUUGAAAGACAAUGAAGCUGAAGAAAUAUUGGAUUAUGAUUCAAUGUAUUUUUUAAGUUUGAGUCCAUAGUUAUAAGUAAAUGACUAAAUAAACAGGAAUUUCAUAUAAUUUUUGCAAAUACCUUGCCUCAAGGAGGUAUACAUAGCUCCUUGCAACUUAAGUGUGUACUAUGGAGUGGCUUCCUGUGCAAGAAUUAAAACAGAAAUUCGACAAGCACUCCCUCAGCCAAGUGACCAAAGGUCACGGAGCAGUGGCAGGUCAUGUGAAUGCUAGGUAGCCUUACUAAGAUGGGAAAACAACGGUUUCUUGUCUCUGGGGCUUCCUUAGAAGCCUACUAAGUGCAUUCUAGACAAGUAUCAUUAAGGGGCAUCCUUUGAAACUUCUUAAAACGGAAACUCCUUAAAACGGUUAAACCCUUCAAGAAGAAAUGAAGCCUAAAGCUACACAAGGUGGGGAUGCCUGCAAUUCCAGCACUUGGUGGCUUCAUCUGAAGGAGUACGAGAUCAAAGGCAGACACGGAGAGAUAUUUUUUUUUUUUUAAAAGACAAGGAAAAGUAAGUAGGAAAGAAAAGACUACAUGGCACGAGAGAACUGGUGACUGCAUGUGGAAGAAAAGUGUCAUCUAUCCAGUCAGCAGCAUCCUAAGGAGCCACGAUUACUGUAUGUGGUGUCUGGGGUGGUAUAUUAGUCACUUUAUGUACUGCUAGGGUGGACCAGCUUUAGAAAGUAAGGGUUUGUUUGGUUCCGUCUGAGAUAUAGUCGAUUGCUGUGGGGGAGUUAACCGCAGCAGGAGGUGAGGCAGCUGGUCACACGGCGUGGGCAGUGAGGAAGCAGAGAGAGACGGAUA